GAUGAACGCUGGCGGCGUGCUUAACACAUGCAAGUCGAACGGUGAAGGCGGAGCUUGCUCUGCUGGAUCAGUGGCGAACGGGUGAGUAACACGUGAGCAAUCUGCCCCUGACUCUGGGAUAAGCGCUGGAAACGGCGUCUAAUACUGGAUACGAGCUGCGAAGGCAUCUUCAGCAGCUGGAAAGAAUUUCGGUCAGGGAUGAGCUCGCGGCCUAUCAGCUUGUUGGUGAGGUAAUGGCUCACCAAGGCGUCGACGGGUAGCCGGCCUGAGAGGGUGACCGGCCACACUGGGACUGAGACACGGCCCAGACUCCUACGCGAGGGAGCAGUGGGGAAUAUUGCACAAUGGGCGAAAGCCUGAUGCAGCAACGCCGCGUGAGGGACGACGGCCUUCGGGUUGUAAACCUCUUUUAGCAGGGAAGAAGCGAAAGUGACGGUACCUGCAGAAAAAGCGCCGGCUAACUACGUG
Molecule: ribosomal RNA, 468 nt
Filed under: uncultured bacterium
Lineage: Bacteria
Description: partial 16S ribosomal RNA
Rfam family: Bacterial small subunit ribosomal RNA
Source: RNAcentral